RNAcentral lists this long non-coding RNA (902 nucleotides) under Mytilus galloprovincialis (Mediterranean mussel). The record is from RNAcentral. Lineage: Eukaryota; Metazoa; Mollusca; Bivalvia; Mytilida; Mytilidae.
AACAGAUCGUACAAUUCAUUUUAUUUUAUAGAAUAUUCGUUGAUGAAUCUCAGUGAAUACGCAUUAUUCAAUAGAUCUAUCUAUUCGUAUUGAUGUUACAUUUGUAAUCACACUAUCUAUGCAAUUAAUUGUUAUCAUUUUUAUCAAGUGAAUAGGAUAAAUUUUUUGUUUGUUAUUGCCUCUCUUUCAUUUGUCAAGCCUCUUUUUCAUUUGUCAAGCCAUUCUUUCAUUUGUCAAGCCUCUCUUUCAUUUGGCAAGCCUCUCUUUCAUUUGUCAAGCCUCUCUUUCAUUUGUUUAAACCUCUCUUGUUAUCAUUUUUAUCAGGUGAAUAGGAUAAAUUUUUUGUUUGUUAUUGCCUCUCUUCAAUUUGUCAAGCCUCUCUUUGAUUUGUUUAAACCUCACUUUCAUUUGUUUAAGCCUCCUUCUCAUCUCUUCUAAAUCGAAAAAAAAUGUGAUGUUUUUCUUCUUUGGUUACAAUUUCUUUUCAUCGUUAUCCAUAUAAAAACAUUGUUGUCGUUAAUGUUAACCAUCGGACGAAUCAAUGUUAUCCUUUUAUUACCAUAAGUGUGGCGAUUUUUUCAAGAUCUUUUUUGAAUAUAAGUUUUUCAAAAAAUUGCAAAUGCACAUGCAGAACAAGAAACACGAGUAUUAGUUAAAUACAAGUUCCAAACACUACGUGAGCUUCUCUGUUUCUUUCUUUGAUUUUUAUGAUUCUAUGAUGUUAACUACAUUACAAAAAAAUCCAUUCACCUGAUGUUUAGAACGUGUUUUUAUUGGUGCACUAAAACACUUAGAUCAGUUAGUUGAAUUAAAUUGCGAAUCACAAUCUUGAAGUGUUUGCGUGCAAUAUUUAGUACAUUGUCAUACAGUCAUAAGUCUCAGAGAUAUAUGUGCUCAAUUUU